UACGUAGGGUGCGAGCGUUGUCCGGAAUUACUGGGCGUAAAGAGCUCGUAGGUGGUUUGUCGCGUUGUUCGUGAAAACCGGGGGCUUAACCCUCGGCGUGCGGGCGAUACGGGCAGACUAGAGUGCGGUAGGGGAGACUGGAAUUCCUGGUGUAGCGGUGAAAUGCGCAGAUAUCAGGAGGAACACCGGUGGCGAAGGCGGGUCUCUGGGCCGUAACUGACGCUGAGGAGCGAAAGCGUGGGGAGCGAACAGG
This 253-nucleotide ribosomal RNA is filed under the name uncultured bacterium. RNAcentral's name for it is "partial 16S ribosomal RNA". It matches the Rfam family "Bacterial small subunit ribosomal RNA", at positions 524 to 776 of the family's 1533-position model. The record is from RNAcentral.